GGCGGCAUAGCCAAGUGGUUAAGGCAACGGUCUGCAAAAUCGUCACCCCCAGUUCGACUCUGGGUGCCGCCUCCA
RNAcentral lists this transfer RNA (75 nucleotides) under bacterium DOLZORAL124_64_63. RNAcentral describes it as "tRNA-Cys". It matches the Rfam family "tRNA". From Rfam's summary of the family: Transfer RNA (tRNA) molecules are approximately 80 nucleotides in length. Their secondary structure includes four short double-helical elements and three loops (D, anti-codon, and T loops). Further hydrogen bonds mediate the characteristic L-shaped molecular structure. tRNAs have two regions of fundamental functional importance: the anti-codon, which is responsible for specific mRNA codon recognition, and the 3' end, to which the tRNAs corresponding amino acid is attached (by aminoacyl-tRNA synthetases). tRNAs cope with the degeneracy of the genetic code in two manners: having more than one tRNA (with a specific anti-codon) for a particular amino acid; and 'wobble' base-pairing, i.e. permitting non-standard base-pairing at the 3rd anti-codon position. The record is from RNAcentral.